RNAcentral lists this ribosomal RNA (431 nucleotides) under uncultured bacterium. Its description in RNAcentral is "bacterial SSU rRNA". It matches the Rfam family "Bacterial small subunit ribosomal RNA", at positions 355 to 776 of the family's 1533-position model. The record is from RNAcentral.
UGGGGAAUAUUGCGCAAUGGACGAAAGUCUGACGCAGCGACGCCGCGUGUGGGAGGAAGCCCUUCGGGGUGUAAACCACUGUCAGAGGGGAAGAACCCCGUCGGUCAGAAUAUGGCCGGCGGCUGACGGUACCCUCAGAGGAAGCGCCGGCUAACUCCGUGCCAGCAGCCGCGGUAAGACGGAGGGCGCAAGCGUUGUUCGGAAUUACUGGGCGUAAAGGGCGGGCAGGCGGUCCGUUAAGUCUUCUGUGAAAAUCCGGGGCUCAACCCCGUGAAAUGCAGGAGAUACUGGCGGACUAGAGACCGGUAGAGGCUAGCGGAAUUCCUGGUGUAGCGGUGGAAUGCGUAGAUAUCAGGAAGAACACCUGUGGCGAAGGUGGCUAGCUGGGCCGGGUCUGACGCUGAUCCGCGAAAGCGUGGGGAGCAAACAGG